This 465-nucleotide ribosomal RNA is filed under the name uncultured bacterium. RNAcentral describes it as "partial 16S ribosomal RNA". It matches the Rfam family "Bacterial small subunit ribosomal RNA", at positions 28 to 507 of the family's 1533-position model. The record is from RNAcentral.
GACGAACGCUGGCGGCGUGCUUAACACAUGCAAGUCGAACGGAAAGGCCCUGCUUGCAGGGUACUCGAGUGGCGAACGGGUGAGUAACACGUGGGUGAUCUGCCCUGCACUUCGGGAUAAGCCUGGGAAACUGGGUCUAAUACCGGAUAUGACCUUCCAUGGAGUGUGGGGGGUGGAAAGAUUUAUCGGUGUGGGAUGAGCCCGCGGCCUAUCAGCUUGUUGGUGGGGUAAUGGCCUACCAAGGCGUCGACGGGUAGCCGGCCUGAGAGGGUGGACGGCCACAUUGGGACUGAGAUACGGCCCAGACUCCUACGGGAGGCAGCAGUGGGGAAUAUUGCACAAUGGGCGGAAGCCUGAUGCAGCGACGCCGCGUGGGGGAUGACGGCCUUCGGGUUGUAAACCUCUUUCGACAGGGACGAAGCUUCGGUGACGGUACCUGUAUAAGAAGCACCGGCUAACUACGUG